CAGCAAACUGAAUGGGGUCACAGGAAGACUUUCUUCCACUGCCAGCUUGAAAAAAUCUGGACUCUUUGGAGAGCCAUGAGACCGCAGCAAUAUGUUCAGAAAGGGGAUCAGGUUGCAGAACUACAACGUUGAGCACACAAUGGAAUAUUGCUGGGAUGCAGCUGGCAAGGCUGCCAGAAAAACAGGAGCUUUCCAACAGAGAGGAUCAAGGUGCAGCAGAGCGCGCCAUCAGAGGACAUGGAGAUGUACUCGAUAGGAGACCCCAAACGAGGCAGGAAAUCCUUCUGACAUGAAGAUUCAUUGUGCCACUGGACUAGAACAGAUUCMACUCCACCACUCAGCAACCUGGUUCCUUUUCCAGCAACAAAAUACAGUUAAAAAAUCCUUCCUGGACAUACUUAAAACUCCAAAAGUUGAACUUAUUAGCAUGAACUGCAUAGAGUCCAUCUGAGAGGAAAAGAACCCAACCAACCAACAUGACAGAGAGGAAAAAAGCCCAAAGGUGAACGUACUUCUCU
Molecule: long non-coding RNA, 518 nt
Organism: Malurus melanocephalus (red-backed fairy wren)
Lineage: Eukaryota; Metazoa; Chordata; Aves; Passeriformes; Maluridae
Exons: 6
Source: RefSeq, a predicted model, not a curated record